CGUCAUGUCACGGCGAUCAAACAUGUCUGUGUGCGCUUCGCUGCUGUGACUUCCUGAUUCUCCGCCGCUCGCGCGCGCACACACACUCCCAGCCACUCGAACACGCCGCCCCCACCAGCCCUGGCCACCAGCCCUCGCUGGUCCUCCUCGGGCUCCGGGGGAGCGCGCCGCAGCUCCCGACGCGCUGCCGGGCGCUCACAACACACACACACACACUCACUCACUCACACUCACACACACUCGCGCCGGGCCCCAGCCGCGGGAGCUCGCCGCCCCCUCCCAGCCCUCCUCCCCACUCACAGCCCCGCCAAACUUUUUUUUUUCCUUCCUGAUCCACGUCCAACUUCCCUCCUCCCCCACACCCCGCGAGCAGCCUGGCCAAGCCCCGCGCUCACCACCAUCCGCAGCGAGCGGCAACCCGGAUAAAAAUAAUAAUGCAAUCCAGGCGAGCGGCGGCGGCGGCGGGGGCGAGCGCGCAGACACUGGCAGGAGGCGAUCUCCCCGCGUGUACCGGAAACCGGCGCGAGUGCCCCGGCCGGGGCGCGGGUCUCCCCCGGAGCCCGCACUGCUGCGCCCCGCCCCGCCCCGCGCCGCGCGACUGCGGCCGGGAGGCGAGGCCUGGAGCCGGGCAUCCGAGGCACUGCUCGGCGUGCGCCCUGGGGCCGAAAGGCGCCUGGGGGCUGGCGCUCCGGACUGGUUAUUUGGGGAAGUGCAUCGCGACACCUUUGCAGAUGGCACGGCCGUGUUUUGCAACGCAGACGGGAGGAGGGAAGACGGCCGGGUGGAGGAGCAGCGCAGAGGCGCGGGGUGACCCAGGUUGGGAUGGGAACAAGGCAAACUCGCACGCAGGGAGCGAGAAGGAAGGGGUGCGUGUCAUCCUUGGGAGGAGGCUCUCCCCGGGUCUCCCCGCCUCCCGCCCUCGUCACCCACCCCCCUCCAUUCCCUUCCCACCGCAGCCCUUCCCCUUUCCUGGCGAACGCCACCGCCGCUGCCCGGGUGCGCGCGGGUCCUGUUUGUGACAGUCAGGCAGAGAGGAUUAUCCGGAUCACGGCCUUCCCGGCCCGGAGCCGCCGCGGCUCUCCCGGAUCCCAGCGCGCCCCUAGGACCCGGACGAGCACCGGCGCCCCCGCGGCCGCGGCCGCGGCCGCAGCCUCCUCCGCGCGAUCCCCCCUCGCGGCGCCGCAGCCGCAGCCCUUUAAACAUUCCCCGGGAAGCGAGCGGCGGCCGCGUUCCUCGGCUCCCCGGCCGCCCGCCCGGGCUCCUCCGCCCUCCUUUCCCGUCCCCCUUCCAACUCUUCCGGGGAAGACGGCUCGGGAUGCAGGGUCGCACCUCCCCCCGCCCCAAACCACCCACCCACCCAGCCCCCGCCACCCGACGUUUCAGGGGAUGGUGGAACCGCAACCUGGCCGAGUGCGUGCGUGUGCGUGUGUGUUGCAACCUUGA
This 1443-nucleotide long non-coding RNA is filed under the name Oryctolagus cuniculus (rabbit). Its description in RNAcentral is "lncRNA (ENSOCUG00000030716.1)". Lineage: Eukaryota; Metazoa; Chordata; Mammalia; Lagomorpha; Leporidae. The record is from RNAcentral.